GCGCUCACUUCAGUAGUACAUAUAAUAAAAUUGGAAUGACACAGAGAAGAUUAGCAUGGCCCCCGCGCAAGGAUGACACACAAAUUCGUGAAGAAUUCCAUAUUUUU
Small nuclear RNA from Pteropus vampyrus (large flying fox), 107 nucleotides. NCBI's taxonomy places the organism in Eukaryota, Metazoa, Chordata, Mammalia, Chiroptera, Pteropodidae. The record is from Ensembl.